CUGGUUGGUGGGGUAACGGCCUACCAAGGCGACGAUCGGUUGCUGGUCUGAGAGGACGAUCAGCCACACUGGGAUUGAGAACGGCCCAGACUCCUACGGGGGGCAGCAGUGAGGAAUUUUCGGCAAUGGAGGCAACUCUGACCGAGCAACGCCGCGUGCAGGAAGACGCGUUUCGGCGUGUAAACUGCUUUUCUGCGGGACGAGCAAGGACGGUACCGCAGGAAGAAGCCCCGGCUAACUACGUGCCAGCAGCCGCGGUAAUACGUAGGGGGCGAGCGUUGUCCGGGGUUACUGGGCGUAAAGGGCAUGUAGGCGGUCGAUUUUGUCGGGGCGGACAGGGGAGGGCUUCACCCUCUCAGCAGCCACGAAACGGGUCGACUGGAGCCUCAGAGAGGGACACGGAAUUCCGGGUGGAGCGGUGAAAUGCGUAGAGAUCCGGAGGAACACCGCAGGCGCAGGCAGUGUCCUGGCUGAGAGCUGACGCUGAGGUGCGAAAGCGAGGGGAGCGAACGGGAUUAGAUACCCCGGUAGUCCUCGCCGUAAACGAUGACCACUAGGUGUGGGAGGUAUCGACCCCUUCCGUGCCGCCGUUAACACAAUAAGUGGUCCGCCUGGGGAGUACGGUCGCAAGAUUAAAACUCAAAGGAAUUGACG
This 654-nucleotide ribosomal RNA is filed under the name uncultured bacterium. RNAcentral's name for it is "SSU rRNA". It matches the Rfam family "Bacterial small subunit ribosomal RNA", at positions 245 to 915 of the family's 1533-position model. The record is from RNAcentral.